Molecule: long non-coding RNA, 636 nt
Filed under: Fukomys damarensis (Damara mole-rat)
Lineage: Eukaryota; Metazoa; Chordata; Mammalia; Rodentia; Bathyergidae
Description: lncRNA (ENSFDAG00000022773.1)
Source: RNAcentral
UUAGCUUUACCUCACAGUUUGGAGAAUUUCAUCUUCUCUGUUAAUUAGUAAAUGGACAACAUUUUAAGACAUGCCAUUCCUCUGAAGUCAAAGUUCAAAUAGGACAUUCACAGUCAGGUUGCCCAAUUUUCAAGUGUUGAGUCAUGCCGGCUAAAGGGCAGGAGGGCACAGAGGUAGAAGACUUGGACUGGUACCUCAUGCAGGUCAUGUGAAUAGCGUUCACUCUAUUCUAGAACUGGAGAGCUCCUUAGGUCCCUCUGUCAGAAUUUCUAACCAAUGGGAAUGAGAAAAAUUCUAACUGGCCCUGUUAAUUCAGAGGGAGAAAAACGUUUGGAAUGUUAUUUGUGGAACUGUAACUGUGACCUCAACUCAGUACAACAUGCCCAGGCAGGAUAUCCUGCACCGGUGACCUCAACACUCUGCCAAGAAGAAAGCCAUCAUGACAUGCAACCCUUUGAACUUGGCCCAUUAGAACUGAUUAUGGGUGACCAUCUCCAAACAGCAAAAAGUUACAGAGGAAAUUUCAUCUGCAAGGAGGAGAUAAAAAGUUUAAAAACAUCCAAUCAGCAAAGCUCCUACAUUUUACUGAUCAAGGCGUUUGCACAGAGGGCCAUGGUGGAGAAAGUGUCCAACUAG